GGAGACGUCGCAUAGCCCGGUCGAGUGCGCCUCACUGCUAAUGAGGUAAGGGUCUUAAAGCCCUUCGGAGGUUCAAAUCCUCUCGUCUCCGCCA
This 94-nucleotide transfer RNA is filed under the name Actinomycetales bacterium. RNAcentral's name for it is "tRNA-Ser". It matches the Rfam family "tRNA". Rfam says of the family: Transfer RNA (tRNA) molecules are approximately 80 nucleotides in length. Lineage: Bacteria; Bacillati; Actinomycetota; Actinomycetes; Actinomycetales. The record is from RNAcentral.